Molecule: ribosomal RNA, 299 nt
Filed under: uncultured bacterium
Lineage: Bacteria
Description: partial 16S ribosomal RNA
Rfam family: Bacterial small subunit ribosomal RNA
Source: RNAcentral
GGACGAACGCUGGCGGCGUGCUUAACACAUGCAAGUCGAGCGGUAAGGCCCUUUCGGGGGUACACGAGCGGCGAACGGGUGAGUAACACGUGGGUGACCUGCCCUCAGCUCUGGGAUAAGCCUGGGAAACCGGGGUCUAAUACUGGAUAUGACUCCAUGACGCAUGUUGUGGGGUGGAAAGCCUUGUGCGGCUGAGGAUGGGCCCGCGGCCUAUCAGCUUGUUGGUGGGGGAUGGCCUACCAAGGCGACGACGGGUAGCCGGCCUGAGAGGGCGACCGGCCACACUGGGACUGAGACAC